RNAcentral lists this long non-coding RNA (422 nucleotides) under Trifolium pratense (red clover). RNAcentral's name for it is "long non-coding RNA (TPRA_LNC004649)". The record is from RNAcentral. Lineage: Eukaryota; Viridiplantae; Streptophyta; Magnoliopsida; Fabales; Fabaceae.
ACAACUUUCAUUCAACUAGAAGGUGAUGAAACACCAUAUAAAUUACACACAGCUGCAGCAAGGGAAUUUGGAACUACUCCCAUCCACGUUUUAGUACCAACUACAUUAGAUAAUUUUGCUAAACCAUGAGCAACCGAAUUUAAGUGACGCCUAACAUGUGUCACAACUACGCUAUCUAAUUGUUCAAUGAGUAAUUUACAAUCUUGGAUAACAAUUUCUAUCAUAGCUAUAGACUGGUUUGAGUUGAUACAAUUUACCACAGUGGCAACAUCAGAAACAAUCACAAUAUCUUUCAUGUUAGCUUCAAUAGCUUUUUGGAGGCACCAUCUCACACCAUGUGCCUCAGCCAACACAGGUUCAACAUCAAUAAAUUCCUUUCUACAAGCAGAUAGAACAACAUUGUAACACCCCGUUUUUCAAAG